ACGUGAAAUAUGCUAAAACUGUGUUUUUUGGAAAGAGUUUGUGGAGAAAAUAUGAGAGAGCGAUAUUUGAGUUUUAUUUACCAGAAUUAUUUUUCGGAAUGGCGAUAAUACCCUUAGUUUUGGCCUUUAAUUAUGUUAAUGCCAUAAAUUUGAGUUUUUUAAUUUAACGACGAGAGAAAGAGAGGAGAUGGAUCACACGUUUACGCGGUUUCUACGCGGAGAGUUGACUGCCAUGUCAGCAUUUCGAAUGAGUGGGUCUCCCUGUUUGAUUUUCCUCGGUUGGUUGGUCGCUGUUAAUAUUUCUCUCAUAUUAUUAUUUAAUGCUAUUUUUUCUUAUUUAAAAGAUUUAUUUAGUUUUAUAGUGGAACAGAACUAUGGAUGUUUCUUCCCAUGUGUUGUACAAGUGGAGCAACAUCUGUCAAAAUUUUAAAGAUUUUGUAUUAUGAAUAUGACAGACAUUUUUCAGAUAUAAUAAGAGGAGCUUUCACCCACUUCUUUAUUCAUUUCAAGGCUGAGGCAUGACUAGUGGAGCGAUAGUGGUGGCAAGCUAUCCUGUGAAAUGGUGUCGUUCUUUAUUUGAAAGGUAAUAUUAAUGAGUGCAUAUGCAACCGCUUGCUUUACGCUGUGCUGCACCAAGUCUGAUUCUUUCUCCUCAUCAUUCAUCUCAUGCAACACUGAAGUUGUUUCAGGCUUGUCUCCCUUCAAGUUCAACUCCCUAGUCAGCUCUUGCAGGUAUGAAUAGAUCUCUUUUUUAUUUAGAUGGAGAACAGUCUUGACCUUGUAUGUUAUAUAGAUAUCUUUUCAACCAUCAGGUGAUUCAUGUCAAACAACUCAAGCCCUUUGUCAUUACAUGCCUAAUGCAAGUUCAACGUCUUCUCGUUGAUCUCCGUCACAGUUUGCUCUUCCAUAAUAUUAAACAGUUUGAUUGCCUCCUCAUGAUGUCCAUGAAUCCCAUAAGCAGAAGUCAUCGAGCUCCACAUCACUUCAUCUUCACGUUCUGAGAAAGCUUUAGCUGCAUCUUCAAGGCACCCCACAUGUUAAUACAUGAUGAACAAUGAACUAACCACAUCUACCACGGAGCUAUCUCCGAUCUUAAUAGCUUCGGCAUCAAUUUGUUGACCUUGACUUUCUAACCGCUAAAUCAGAACAGGAACUGAGCACAGUUACAAGAGUGAUAUUGUCCGGCCUAUAUAUUUUCAUAUUAUACUGUCUAAACACUGUUUCAGGACAUUCGUUUUGAGCGAUCAUUGACCUAAUGAUAUUUUCUCCAUCUUGCAGUUUCCCAUUUCUCAUAUACAUAUGAGCCACUGAACUGUUAUCCUCUGAGUCCAACUCAAGCCCGUAUUUUAUAACCACGAUUUGUGGUCUAGUGGUUUAACUUGAGGAUAAAGUCUAAUACGUGAAGUCACCGUGGUUCGAAUCCGGACUAGGGAAUUAUCGCCAGGGAAAAAAGACAUGUGGGCUGAAAAUGUAAGCUGUUAACACGUGCCUAGUCUUGACCCACUUCUGUGGAGGCCAAAUACCCAUGUAUAAUUAAAAAAGCAUGCAUUUUAUUAUGCAUCAAUGAAUCUAUAAGUUAUUUAGAGAAAAUCUUUAAACAUGAAACGAAAACAACAAGUUUUUCAUUUAUUCCGGUAAGGUAAUGUUUUCGGAUUCAUACUUGAACAAGUGUUCAUGCUCAAAAGUUUGAACUACCUGCAAAUGAAAGACUACAUAAAAGACAGAAACAAAGAAGUGUCUCUCUGAUAUGAACCAACACAAAGAAGAAAGAAAAAAGAACGUCCAGGAAGAUCAUAAAGAAGCAUAGCUUGUCCGCAGGAGCUUCCAUUUAGGAUCCAACAGUGUUUAACUUGACAAGAUCUUCUUCACCUCCUGCCAUUAAUUAACCCAAUCAUUCAGAACAAAGAAACCAUUGAAUCAAACUACUACCACUAAGGCCAUGUUCGUUUUUGUAUCCAAACGCUCAUCAGGAUACUAGCAUCUGGAUACGAUCAUACGAGCAUUCAGAUGGUGUUUGUUUAGACACUAUUGCAUCAGCAUCUACAUGCAUCAUCUAAAUGCAACAUAUAUAAUAUCUAAAAUAUAUUUGAGAUGUUAAAAAAUUAUAGUUGGAUGCUCCAUUUGCAUCUUAAAAUCCAAAGACCUAAAUACCCUUAAAUACAACUACAAAAUUAAUUAAAUUCUUUAUUAUUAUAAUAUAAUAUCUUUAAUCGUAAAAUUGUAAAUUUUCUGACAAAAUAGAAAAAAAAUGCAUUUCUUAGCCAAAAUCUAAAAACCGUAUUUUCCCGCCAAAUUCCAAAAAUCGCGUUUUCCGCCAAAAUCAGAAAUCUUUUCUCGCCAAAAUCAGAAAACCGGUUUUCCCACAAAAAACAAAAUACCUGUUUUCCCGACAAAA
Brassica rapa (field mustard) is the source of this 2395-nucleotide long non-coding RNA. RefSeq lists it as uncharacterized. The record is from RefSeq and is a predicted model, not a curated record. NCBI's taxonomy places the organism in Eukaryota, Viridiplantae, Streptophyta, Magnoliopsida, Brassicales, Brassicaceae.